RNAcentral lists this ribosomal RNA (233 nucleotides) under uncultured bacterium. Its description in RNAcentral is "partial 16S ribosomal RNA". It matches the Rfam family "Bacterial small subunit ribosomal RNA", at positions 118 to 347 of the family's 1533-position model. The record is from RNAcentral.
UGAGUAACCUGCCCUUAACUCUGGGAUAAGCCUGGGAAACUGGGUCUAAUACCGGAUAUGACUCCUCAUCGCAUGGUGGGGGGUGGAAAGCUUUUUUGUGGUCUUGGAUGGACUCGCGGCCUAUCAGCUUGUUGGUGGGGUAACGGCCUACCAAGGCGACGACGGGUAGCUGGUCUGAGAGGAUGGCCAGCCACAUUGGGACUGAGAUACGGCCCAGACUCCUACGGGAGCAG